Molecule: non-coding RNA, 225 nt
Organism: Pelobates cultripes (western spadefoot toad)
Lineage: Eukaryota; Metazoa; Chordata; Amphibia; Anura; Pelobatidae
Source: the annotation of a GenBank genome assembly
CACUCACCGCCCCCACCUUCUAUGAAAACAUAUGUCUCGGAGAGCAAUCUCCUAGAGGCCUUAUCACGCUGCUGUAUGUGCACAUAUGCGCAGAAACCAAAGAAUGAGGCAACCUGACAUACACUGAUCAUUGGGAACGGGACCUGGGUGAGGUACUAGAGGGGGUGGAGUGUCAGGAGAUCUGGGAGGCGACAGCCACAUCUUCCAUAUGCAUUUCUAUGCAGG